AGUUUGAUCAUGGCUCAGGAUGAACGCUGGCGGCGUGCUUAACACAUGCAAGUCGAACGGUGAAAGCGGAGCUUGCUCUGCUGGAUCAGUGGCGAACGGGUGAGUAACACGUGAGCAAUCUGCCCCUGACUCUGGGAUAAGCGCUGGAAACGGCGUCUAAUACUGGAUACGAGCUGCGAAGGCAUCUUCAGCAGCUGGAAAGAAUUUCGGUCAGGGAUGAGCUCGCGGCCUAUCAGCUUGUUGGUGAGGUAAUGGCUCACCAAGGCGUCGACGGGUAGCCGGCCUGAGAGGGUGACCGGCCACACUGGGACUGAGACACGGCCCAGACUCCUACGGGAGGCAGCAGUGGGGAAUAUUGCACAAUGGGCGCAAGCCUGAUGCAGCAACGCCGCGUGAGGGACGACGGCCUUCGGGUUGUAAACCUCUUUAGCAGGGAAGAAGGAAACGAAAGUGACGGUACCUGCAGAAAAAGCACCGGCUAACUACGUGCCAGC
Molecule: ribosomal RNA, 494 nt
Filed under: Microbacterium sp.
Lineage: Bacteria; Bacillati; Actinomycetota; Actinomycetes; Micrococcales; Microbacteriaceae
Description: bacterial SSU rRNA
Rfam family: Bacterial small subunit ribosomal RNA
Source: RNAcentral